Molecule: ribosomal RNA, 407 nt
Filed under: Cyprinus carpio (common carp)
Lineage: Eukaryota; Metazoa; Chordata; Actinopteri; Cypriniformes; Cyprinidae
Description: partial small subunit ribosomal RNA
Rfam family: Bacterial small subunit ribosomal RNA
Source: RNAcentral
UAGAGGAGCCUGUUCUAGAACCGAUAACCCCCGUUCAACCUCACCACUUCUAGCCACCCCAGCCUAUAUACCGCCGUCGUCAGCUUACCCUGUGAAGGUAAUAAAAGUAAGCAAAAUGGGCACAACCCAAAACGUCAGGUCGAGGUGUAGCGCAUGAAGUGGGAAGAAAUGGGCUACAUUUUCUAAUAUAGAAUAUUACGAACAUGCACCAUGAAACAAUGCUUGAAGGAGGAUUUAGUAGUAAAAGGGAAAUAGAGUGUCCCUUUGAACCCGGCUCUGAGACGCGUACACACCGCCCGUCACUCUCCCCUGUCAAAACGCACCAAAAAUACAUAAUACAACAGCACUGACAAGGGGAGGCAAGUCGUAACACGGUAAGUGUACCGGAAGGUGCACUUGGAUCAAAC